Molecule: ribosomal RNA, 433 nt
Filed under: uncultured bacterium
Lineage: Bacteria
Description: partial 16S ribosomal RNA
Rfam family: Bacterial small subunit ribosomal RNA
Source: RNAcentral
AGCGAACGCUGGCGGCAGGCCUAACACAUGCAAGUCGAACGAACUCUUCGGAGUUAGUGGCGGACGGGUGAGUAACACGUGGGAACGUGCCUUUAGGUUCGGAAUAACUCAGGGAAACUUGUGCUAAUACCGAAUGUGCCCUUCGGGGGAAAGAUUUAUCGCCUUUAGAGCGGCCCGCGUCUGAUUAGCUAGUUGGUGAGGUAAAGGCUCACCAAGGCGACGAUCAGUAGCUGGUCUGAGAGGAUGAUCAGCCACAUUGGGACUGAGACACGGCCCAAACUCCUACGGGAGGGAGCAGUGGGGAAUCCUGCGCAAUGGGCGAAAGCCUGACGCAGCCAUGGCGCGUGAAUGAUGAAGGUCUUAGGAUUGUAAAAUUCUUUCACCGGGGACGAUAAUGACGGUACCCGGAGAAGAAGCCCCGGCUAACUUCGUG